Long non-coding RNA from Zonotrichia leucophrys gambelii, 952 nucleotides. RefSeq lists it as uncharacterized. NCBI's taxonomy places the organism in Eukaryota, Metazoa, Chordata, Aves, Passeriformes, Passerellidae. The record is from RefSeq and is a predicted model, not a curated record. The transcript has 3 exons.
GGCUGCUCCUGCCAGGGUUCUGAGACAGCAGGGAUGGAUCUGAGCAAGAUUCCCAAAAUUCUGGCAUUUCUAACAGCACAAACACAAUGAAUGCCCUGAUGGUGAUGGCAACUUUCAGGUUUCCUGCUGAUAACCACAGAGUGGCUUCAGCUCCUUUGUUCCGGGGGACAAUGGUAACCAAUGUUCCAGUGACCUCCAGUGGGGAGCGGCGAGAAUACAGCGCCCCUGGGCCGGACAGGAUCCUCCUGCAGGACGGACAGACGGACCAGGGCUGCGAGAAAACCGCCCUCGAUUUUUAUUUAACAGUUCAAACUCACCCCUGUCCCUCUGGCGCAGAAACUCAGGUGAAAAUCUUCCCUGUCUGCACAACAGGACCUUGGACAAAGCUGCCUGAGCCCAACCAGCCCCAAAUCCUGCAGGUUCCUCACCUGUUCAUCAGUCAGCACAAGCCAGGGGCUCUGUCUCAUUCCUGGGUGUCUCCCGGUGACUUCUGAGCCACCAAGAACCAAAGAGUUUUAGUCCAAGCUCAAUCCCCCCCUUCCUGUUUUUGGUGGGGACAAAAGGAGGAUGGCAAUUUGGAAACCACGAGUCCUGAUCACCAUCUGGCCCUGAUGGAUACGGGCAGAACUCUGGGUAAUAAAUGCAGGAUUUAUUUAAACUCAGCCGAACAGAGAGCAGGGGAGCACAUCAGGCACACCCAGCAAGGUGAACUCACAGGGACCACCUUGAAAUGGGACAAGAACCCAAAUCCUGGAAUGGUGCUCUGGAUCCGAGUCAGGAGGGACACCAGGACUAAACCAAGACUAAAACGCUCUCCUGAUCCCACCUUUCACAGCCCCAGAGCUGCAGGAUGUUCAUCCAGAUUGCUCCAGCCACUGCUGCUUUUGGAGCCCCUGGAGGAACCCACAGCAGCUCCUGAGGUUUGGUGUUCCUGGAGAGACACCCCAGCCCC